AGACGUGCCGGGCGUUCCCGACCCGGGUGUUCCUCCUAGCUGACCCUCUGUACUUUUCUUUGUGUGUUGGCGUUUUGCCAAGUUGUAUGAGUCUCGGCCCUGAAACAAUGAAGGUUAAUGCAAAUAGAGUUUCUUCAUUUCACUUUCGUCCUUCUUUUUAACUCUUGGUAGCGUCUCGCUGACUCCCGACUCUUGAAAUUUUUCUGGCGCUAGGCCGGGUAUCUGAGGGUUAGGCCUCAGGAAAUUCUUCCGGCGCUAAGCCAGGCAUCCGAGGGUUAGGCCUCAGGAA
RNAcentral lists this long non-coding RNA (289 nucleotides) under Phoenix dactylifera (date palm). RNAcentral's name for it is "long non-coding RNA (PDAC_LNC020874)". The record is from RNAcentral. Lineage: Eukaryota; Viridiplantae; Streptophyta; Magnoliopsida; Arecales; Arecaceae.